Long non-coding RNA from Carassius auratus (goldfish), 580 nucleotides. RefSeq lists it as uncharacterized. The transcript is spliced from 6 exons. Lineage: Eukaryota; Metazoa; Chordata; Actinopteri; Cypriniformes; Cyprinidae. The record is from RefSeq and is a predicted model, not a curated record.
CCAGUUUGGGGGGUGCUUGUCGUGGGCACAGUCACUUUCAUUUUGGGAUUUGCUGGGUGUGUUGGAGCUCUCAGGGAAAACAUCUGCCUCCUUAAGUUUUUCUCUGGAGUCAUUGGCUUCAUCUUCUUCCUGGAGUUGACGGCUGCGGUGUUGGCGUUUGUGUUCCAGGGCCAAGUUAGGGAGUGGAUCAAUGAUUUCUUCUUGGCCAAUGUAAGGGCCUACAGGGACGACAUUGACCUGCAGAAUCUGAUUGACUCUCUAGAAACUGAAUUAUUGCUGUGGUGCUAAAGACCCCAACGACUGGAAUUUAAAUGUGUAUUUUAACUGCACAACUGCUAACCCAAGCAGAGAGAGAUGUGGAGUGCCCUUUUCCUGCUGCAUCAGCGACCCUGCUGAUACAGUGGUGAACACGCAGUGUGGGAUAUGAUGUUAGAAAAAACUGGCAACCCGACUCAAUGGGGCCAAACCAUUUAUGUCAAAGGAUGCAUGAUGGCUUUAGAGGAGUGGCUUCCACGCAAUCUCUACAAUUGUGGCUGGAGUCUUCAUAGUCAUAUCAUUGCUACAGAUGGUGGGAAUCUUC